RNAcentral lists this long non-coding RNA (447 nucleotides) under Apteryx haastii (Great spotted kiwi). RNAcentral's name for it is "lncRNA (ENSAHAG00000016856.1)". Lineage: Eukaryota; Metazoa; Chordata; Aves; Apterygiformes; Apterygidae. The record is from RNAcentral.
AUGUCUCUUAAGGUGAAUCCAGCCCCACCAGUGCCUGGAGCCAUAAGCACUCAGUAUUUAUAUUUGGAAAGGUCUCCGGCAUCACCUGGAAAAAGCCCAGUCCAGAGAGCAUCAACCCAGCAUGCACUGGAAAAAGACGCCAUCCCACGUUACCUGCUGAUGUGUUUGCUCCCGUCCCGAGGCACACGCAAGAAAUUCAAGGUCCUUGAUCGCCCUGGGAAGAGAAGGUGUUUGCUUUACACAAGCCUCAGGGAGAACACAAAGAUAAGUAGCAUCUGUGCAGCUGGAAGCGCUGUAUAUGACUGCGGAGACCGUAUUUCCAGCCACAAAAUGCCAGGAUGCUGGGGGAUGGCGAAAGUUCGGAGAAGUCCCGAGAGCUCUCUCCAGCUUGGGGGAAAAAAGCAUUUGCCUUGUCUCUGCCUCGGUUUCCCUCUGUUUAAACCAUGA